RNAcentral lists this ribosomal RNA (402 nucleotides) under uncultured bacterium. RNAcentral describes it as "partial 16S ribosomal RNA". It matches the Rfam family "Archaeal small subunit ribosomal RNA", at positions 473 to 873 of the family's 1478-position model. The record is from RNAcentral.
ACACCGGCAGCUCAAGUGGUGGCCGCUUUUAUUGGGCCUAAAGCGUCCGUAGCCGGUCUGAUAAGUCUCUGGUGAAAUCCCACAGCUUAACUGUGGGAAUUGCUGGAGAUACUAUCAUGACUCGAGGUCGGGGGAGGCUGGAGGUACUCCCAGGGUAGGGGUGAAAUCCUGUAAUCCUGGGAGGACCACCUGUGGCGAAGGCGUCCAGCUGGAACGAACCUGACGGUGAGGGACGAAAGCCAGGGGCGCGAACCGGAUUAGAUACCCGGGUAGUCCUGGCCGUAAACGAUGUGGACUUGGUGUUGGGAUGGCUUCGAGCUGCCCCAGUGCCGAAGGGAAGCUGUUAAGUCCACCGCCUGGGAAGUACGGCCGCAAGGCUGAAACUUAAAGGAAUCGGCGGGG